Molecule: long non-coding RNA, 1300 nt
Organism: Rhineura floridana
Lineage: Eukaryota; Metazoa; Chordata; Lepidosauria; Squamata; Rhineuridae
Exons: 3
Source: RefSeq, a predicted model, not a curated record
GCUUUUCAAGUCAAAAAGGUGACUGACGAUCACCAUUUCCUUGUGUAGUUCGCAGCCGGAUCCUUUCACUCAAUUAGCAUUACCGUGUGAAGUCUCUGGGACAGGAAGCGGAAGUGGUAGCCAGAGGCCUGCUGCUGAAGUCUUAUGGUGGCUGGAUAAAUACACAGGAAAUACAUUCAGGACGUUGAGAGUUCUGCCUUAGCCAUUAGAUCGACUCGGGCAAGCUGGGCUGAUCCAGCUCUCCGAUUUGGCACAAACGAAGGCCAGGCAAGAAAUUGGAUUCGGCUCUUCCUUCUGUCUUUGCCUCACCUCCCCCUUUCCACACCUUGAAGAGGAAUGAAUAACUCAGGGGUAAUUUUGGAGGAAAUCACUGUUAGCAACUGAUUCAAAAGACCUGGAUGAAUGAGAAACUUUGAUUCAUUGUAACAGGACUGCAGUGAUGCCAUUAGGUAAUUUUAGACGCUGAACUUAAUGGCGCCCCUUCAGAUGAUAAUGUGCAUGACUUCGGUUACUUCAAAAUGUGCUAAGCAGGCCCUGCUGCAUUGGGCGGCCCUUCUGCUCAUUCUGCUGAGUGAGGCCCUGGACUUUUGCCCCAAAGUCCUGCACAGACGACACCACUGCGAGGCUGGAGUUCUGAAGCACCCACAUCACAAGGAGAUUCAAUCAGACCACGCGCUUGUCUGUGCGAGUAGGAUGGGCGACGGCCCCCUAUUGACCCAUGUGAAAUGAAUCAAGAGCUGCCUGCUCCAUUUACCUUUACAACGUUACAGUUCUUAAAGCAAAAAUGGUGGAGUUUUGGGUUCCCCCCCCUAAAAAUAGGGUUCACAUCUCUUUCCCCCCCUGAUUUUUUUUUAAAGAAAGCAGCUUAACAUUUGCUCUUGUACCUGAAGCAGGUGAUGUUUAUGUAGAGACAUCUGAAAUGACAGCAGGAGAGGAGGGCAAAUCUAAUCAAGCCUAAUAAACCGUGCGAGUCGGAAUGUCAUUAAACCUGAUCAAGAUGAGCCUCUGAAUCGCCGAAAAAAGGUAAAUGCCUUCAUUAGGGUGAUCUCUGAAGACUGUCGAACAUUUCAUUAAUUUGUAAUUUAUGAUUGUUUGACAAAUAUUGAAAAGUAUGUAAAUAUGAGUGGGGUAAUGUCUUUUCUGCGGGAGAGGAGGAAAUGACCCAAACGGUAGAUGCCUGCAAGAUUACACACGAGGUCCCAUCUAUCUGCUCUCAAACUGUGCCUUCGCUUUUCCCCGCGACAUAUUGUGCGACUGACAAGUGAAAUAGUGCAGAUAAACCAAUGGUUUAAAACGUAAU